Molecule: ribosomal RNA, 253 nt
Filed under: uncultured bacterium
Lineage: Bacteria
Description: partial 16S ribosomal RNA
Rfam family: Bacterial small subunit ribosomal RNA
Source: RNAcentral
UACGUAGGUGGCAAGCGUUGUCCGGAUUUACUGGGCGUAAAGAGCGCGCAGGCGGUCGUUCAAGUCGCGUGUGAAAGCCCCCGGCUCAACUGGGGAGGGUCACGCGAUACUGAUCGACUCGAAGGCAGGAGAGGGAAGUGGAAUUCCCGGUGUAGUGGUGAAAUGCGCAGAUAUCAGGAGGAACACCAAUAGCGAAGGCAGCUCGCUGGGACGUUACUGACACUGAGGCGCGAAAGCGUGGGGAGCGAACAGG